CGAAAUAGUUUGAGCUAAAUAAUUAUGUUUUUUAGGAAAGUGUAGGGCGUUGCAUAGCUCUGUUUUUGAUAUUUAUUUAGGGGUGAAAGGCCUUCCAAAAAUUAUGAUAUCUUGAUACCAUAAAAAAGUAUGUAGUACAUAAACAAAUAUAAAGUGUUGAGGUUUUAUAUUCCUAUAAUGUCUUAUAUAAUAUUAGUUGCCAGGUAUAACUACCUAUUAUUGGAUUUAACUUAUUAUUAGUUUAAGUUAAAAUGUAGUUACUAUGUGGUUCUGUAUAUAAUCUUUAUAUACUUUGAUAAUGUUUACAUAAGUACUUUAAUUAGACCUAAAUAAUGAACUCGGCAAAAACUUUCUUCAACUGUUUACCAAAAACAUAACUAUAUGCAUUGUACAUAUAGCUAUUUCUGCUCAAUGUGAAUAUAAAUAGCCGCAGUACCUUGACUGUGCAAAGGUAGCAUAAUCAGUUGGCUUAUAAUUGAAGUCUGGAAUGAAGGAAUAAUGUGGGGAAAUACUGUCUCUUUUAGGUUUUAGGAAAUUAUUUAGUAGGUGAAAAUCCCUACACACCAAAAAAUAGACGAGAAGACCCUAGAAAUUUUUACUAGAAAAUUAUGGUUUUACUAUUUUUGUUGGGGCGACAUAGUAGCAUUAUUAACCUACUGUUUUAUAUAAGUAUUAAUUCUGAAGCAUAAAUAAAUUACUCUAGGGAUAACAGCAUAAUAUUUAAAAGUUUGUGACCUCGAUGUUGGACUAGGAAACUAUAGUUUAGAAGACUAUUAGAUAAGCUCUGCU
Molecule: ribosomal RNA, 789 nt
Filed under: Acusta rhodostoma
Lineage: Eukaryota; Metazoa; Mollusca; Gastropoda; Stylommatophora; Camaenidae
Description: partial large subunit ribosomal RNA
Rfam family: Archaeal large subunit ribosomal RNA (bases 315-560)
Source: RNAcentral